GUCCGAUUUUGAUCUGUCUCUUAGAUGUGUUGUUAAUCCCAUGUUGGUGAAAUCAUGUUCGCCUGUGAUUAAGCCUCCAAAGACGUCUAGUCCAUGCUCGGAAUCUAGCUGCAUAGAUCCCUUUUGCCUACAUCCAUCCUGGCAAGUAUCCUGCUUCACCCCUAGAUUUUUAUCUGCAACAUCAAAGACACGUAAGCUAAAGGCUGACAUCGCUGCACAAGUCA
RNAcentral lists this unclassified non-coding RNA (224 nucleotides) under Hevea brasiliensis (rubber tree). The record is from RNAcentral. Lineage: Eukaryota; Viridiplantae; Streptophyta; Magnoliopsida; Malpighiales; Euphorbiaceae.